This 468-nucleotide ribosomal RNA is filed under the name uncultured bacterium. Its description in RNAcentral is "partial 16S ribosomal RNA". It matches the Rfam family "Bacterial small subunit ribosomal RNA", at positions 28 to 523 of the family's 1533-position model. The record is from RNAcentral.
GAUGAACGCUGGCGGCGUGCCUAACACAUGCAAGUCGAGCGAUUUACUUCGGUAAAGAGCGGCGGACGGGUGAGUAACGCGUGGGUAACCUGCCCUAUACACACGGAUAACAUACCGAAAGGUAUGCUAAUACGGGAUAAUAUGCUUUUAUCGCAUGGUAGAAGUAUCAAAGCUCCGGCGGUACAGGAUGGACCCGCGUCUGAUUAGCUAGUUGGUAAGGUAACAGCUUACCAAGGCGACGAUCAGUAGCCGACCUGAGAGGGUGAUCGGCCACAUUGGAACUGAGACACGGUCCAAACUCCUACGGGAGGCAGCAGUGGGGAAUAUUGCACAAUGGGCGAAAGCCUGAUGCAGCAACGCCGCGUGAGCGAUGAAGGCCUUCGGGUCGUAAAGCUCUGUCCUCAAGGAAGAUAAUGACGGUACUUGAGGAGGAAGCCCCGGCUAACUACGUGCCAGCCGCCGCGGUAA